GAUAGGCUUGUAUCACUUCUUGCAUGGCAUAAUUCAUUUAUGGUGAUGGUUGAAUUUCUGUCAACAUGUAAACAAUAAACAAAUAGUAUCUCUGAUGGCUAUUUUUGGUGAGAGCUUCUGCGGAAGCUAUCUGGAUGGGCGAAAGCCAUUACUACCACUAGUUGGCUUUGUCAACUAGAUGAUAAGCCACCAACACCACUUUCUAGUUGUCGUUGAUGCACUAGUGUUCAAAACAUUAUUCAACAUGGUUAAACCACUUAGUCGGGUCAU
Molecule: long non-coding RNA, 270 nt
Filed under: Carica papaya (papaya)
Lineage: Eukaryota; Viridiplantae; Streptophyta; Magnoliopsida; Brassicales; Caricaceae
Description: long non-coding RNA (CPAP_LNC003976)
Source: RNAcentral